GUCGAACGGUAGAGGGGGCAACCCCUCGAGAGUGGCGAACGGGUGAGUAAUAUAUCGGAACGUGCCCAGUCGUGGGGGAUAACGUAGCGAAAGUUACGCUAAUACCGCAUACGAUCUACGGAUGAAAGCGGGGGAUCGCAAGACCUCGCGCGAUUGGAGCGGCCGAUAUCAGAUUAGGUAGUUGGUGAGGUAAAGGCUCACCAAGCCAACGAUCUGUAGCUGGUCUGAGAGGACGACCAGCCACACUGGAACUGAGACACGGUCCAGACUCCUACGGGAGGCAGCAGUGGGGAAUUUUGGACAAUGGACGCAAGUCUGAUCCAGCCAUUCCGCGUGCAGGAUGAAGGCCCUCGGGUUGUAAACUGCUUUUGUACGGAACGAAAAGGUCUCUCUUAAUACGGGGGGCUCAUGACGGUACCGUAAGAAUAAGCACCGGCUAACUACGUGCCAGCAGCCGCGGUAAUACGUAGGGUGCAAGCGUUAAUCGGAAUUACUGGGCGUAAAGCGUGCGCAGGCGGUUAUAUAAGACAGAUGUGAAAUCCUCGGGCUCAACCUAGGAACUGCCUUUGUGACUGCAUAGCUAGAGUACGGUAGAGGGGGAUGGAAUUCCGCGUGUAGCAGUGAAAUGCGUAGAUAUGCGGAGGAACACCGAUGGCGAAGGCAAUCCCCUGGACCUGUACUGACGCUCAUGCACGAAAGCGUGGGGAGCAAACAGGAUUAGAUACCCUGGUAGUCCACGCCCUAAACGAU
This 750-nucleotide ribosomal RNA is filed under the name uncultured bacterium. RNAcentral describes it as "bacterial SSU rRNA". It matches the Rfam family "Bacterial small subunit ribosomal RNA", at positions 61 to 810 of the family's 1533-position model. The record is from RNAcentral.